UGCCAGCCGCCGCGGUAAUACGUAGGGGGCAAGCGUUGUCCGGAAUCAUUGGGCGUAAAGAGCGUGUAGGCGGCCUGAUAAGUCGGCUGUGAAAGUCAAGGGCUCAACCCUUGAAUGCCGGCCGAUACUGUCAGGCUAGAGUCCGGAAGAGGCGAGUGGAAUUCCUGGUGUAGCGGUGAAAUGCGCAGAUAUCAGGAGGAACACCUAUGGCGAAGGCAGCUCGCUGGGACGGUACUGACGCUGAGACGCGAAAGCGUGGGGAGCGAACAGGAUUAGAUA
RNAcentral lists this ribosomal RNA (279 nucleotides) under uncultured bacterium. Its description in RNAcentral is "partial 16S ribosomal RNA". It matches the Rfam family "Bacterial small subunit ribosomal RNA", at positions 506 to 784 of the family's 1533-position model. The record is from RNAcentral.